This 497-nucleotide ribosomal RNA is filed under the name uncultured bacterium. Its description in RNAcentral is "partial 16S ribosomal RNA". It matches the Rfam family "Bacterial small subunit ribosomal RNA", at positions 28 to 507 of the family's 1533-position model. The record is from RNAcentral.
GAUGAACGCUGGCGGCGUGCCUAACACAUGCAAGUCGAGCGGACGGACGCGAAGCUUGCUUUUUUGAUGUUAGCGGCGGACGGGUGAGUAACACGUGGAUACCCUCCCUAUCAUACUGGGAUCACUUCGGGAAACCGGAGCUAAUACCGGAUAAUCUUUUGCACCGCAUGGUUCAAAAGUGAGAGACGGUCUUGCUGUCACUUCUAGAUGCAUCCGCGCUGCAUUAGCUAGUUGGUAAGGUAACGGCUUACCAAGGCAACGAUGCAUAGCCGACGGGAGAGGGGGAUCGGCCACACUGGAACUGAGACGCGGUCCAGGCGACUACGAGAGGCAGCAGUAUGGAAUCGUCCGCAAUGGGCGAGAGCCUGACGGAGCGAGGGCGCGUGAGUGAUGAAGGUCUUCGGAUCGUAAAGCUCGGUUAUUAGUGAAGAACAGAUGUGUAAGUAACUGUGCACAUCGUGACGGUACCUAAUCAGAAAGCCACGGCUAACUACGUG